Molecule: non-coding RNA, 21 nt
Filed under: Rattus norvegicus (Norway rat)
Lineage: Eukaryota; Metazoa; Chordata; Mammalia; Rodentia; Muridae
Source: RNAcentral
AUUGGUGAUGGUUUUCAUGAA